Molecule: signal recognition particle RNA, 262 nt
Filed under: Clostridiales bacterium
Lineage: Bacteria; Bacillati; Bacillota; Clostridia; Eubacteriales
Description: signal recognition particle sRNA large type
Rfam family: Bacterial large signal recognition particle RNA
About the family: The signal recognition particle (SRP) is a universally conserved ribonucleoprotein involved in the co-translational targeting of proteins to membranes. Archaeal SRP consists of a 7S RNA and homologues of the eukaryotic SRP19 and SRP54 proteins.
Source: RNAcentral
CCGUGCAGCCGGGGAGUUAGCGGUGCCCUGUACCUCCAAUCCGCUAUAGCAGGGGUGAUAUCUUGCCUCGGGUGUAUGUCUGUGGGGCUGCCUUUUAUAAGUGACGUUGACGUCUGGGUCUUGCGCAACAAGAACUUGUGAACCGUGUCAGGUCAGGAAUGAAGCAGCACUAAGCGAGCCCUCUUGUGUGCCGCAAGGCAACCUGGGCCGAGUUAACUGUAAAAGUAACGCUUAUGGACAGCAUUCAAAGCAAGAUGCACGG